RNAcentral lists this ribosomal RNA (516 nucleotides) under uncultured bacterium. Its description in RNAcentral is "partial 16S ribosomal RNA". It matches the Rfam family "Bacterial small subunit ribosomal RNA", at positions 355 to 861 of the family's 1533-position model. The record is from RNAcentral.
UGGGGAAUAUUGCACAAUGGGCGCAAGCCUGAUGCAGCCAUGCCGCGUGUGUGAAGAAGGCCUUCGGGUUGUAAAGCACUUUCAGCGAGGAGGAAGGUGGUGAACUUAAUACGUUCAUCAAUUGACGUUACUCGCAGAAGAAGCACCGGCUAACUCCGUGCCAGCAGCCGCGGUAAUACGGAGGGUGCAAGCGUUAAUCGGAAUUACUGGGCGUAAAGCGCACGCAGGCGGUUUGUUAAGUCAGAUGUGAAAUCCCCGGGCUCAACCUGGGAACUGCAUUUGAAACUGGCAAGCUAGAGUCUCGUAGAGGGGGGUAGAAUUCCAGGUGUAGCGGUGAAAUGCGUAGAGAUCUGGAGGAAUACCGGUGGCGAAGGCGGCCCCCUGGACGAAGACUGACGCUCAGGUGCGAAAAGCGUGGGGCAGCAAACAGGAUUAGAUACCCUGGUAGUCCACGCUGUAAACGAUGUCGAUUUGGAGGUUGUGCCCUUGAGGCGUGGCUUCCGGAGCUAACGCGUU